RNAcentral lists this transfer RNA (62 nucleotides) under Salganea quinquedentata. RNAcentral's name for it is "tRNA-Asp". Lineage: Eukaryota; Metazoa; Arthropoda; Insecta; Blattodea; Blaberidae. The record is from RNAcentral.
GAAGAAUUAGUUAAAUUUAUAACAUUAGAUUGUCAAACUAAAAUUAUCAAUGAUAUUCUUUU